GAUCAUGGCUCAGGAUGAACGCUAGCUACAGGCUUAACACAUGCAAGUCGAGGGGCAGCAUUUUUAUAGCAAUAUAAAAGAUGGCGACCGGCGCACGGGUGAGUAACACGUGUCCAACCUGCCGAUAACUCGGGGAUAACCCUUCGAAAGAAGGCCUAAUACCCAAUGAUAUCUCUAGAAGGCAUCUGAAAGAGAUUAAAGAUUUAUCGGUGAUGGAUGGGGAUGCGUCUGAUUAG
Molecule: ribosomal RNA, 236 nt
Filed under: uncultured bacterium
Lineage: Bacteria
Description: partial 16S ribosomal RNA
Rfam family: Bacterial small subunit ribosomal RNA
Source: RNAcentral